Molecule: ribosomal RNA, 226 nt
Filed under: uncultured Pasteurellales bacterium
Lineage: Bacteria; Pseudomonadati; Pseudomonadota; Gammaproteobacteria; Pasteurellales
Description: partial 16S ribosomal RNA
Rfam family: Bacterial small subunit ribosomal RNA
Source: RNAcentral
GGUGAGUAAUGCUUGGGAAUCUGGCUUAUGGAGGGGGAUAACUACGGGAAACUGUAGCUAAUACCGCGUAGUAUCGGAAGAUGAAAGUGCGGGACCGUAAGGCCGCAUGCCAUGAGAUGAGCCCAAGUGGGAUUAGGUAGUUGGUGGGGUAAAGGCCUACCAAGCCUGCGAUCUCUAGCUGGUCUGAGAGGAUGGCCAGCCACACUGGAACUGAGACACGGUCCAG